UACGUAGGGCGCAAGCGUUAUCCGGAAUUAUUGGGCGUAAAGAGCUCGUAGGCGGCUCAGUAAGUCAGGUGUGAAAACUCCAGGCUCAACCUGGAGACGCCACCUGAUACUGCUGUGGCUAGAGUCCGGUAGGGGAGCAUGGAAUUCCUGGUGUAGCGGUGAAAUGCGCAGAUAUCAGGAGGAACACCAGUGGCGAAGGCGGUGCUCUGGGCCGGAACUGACGCUGAGGAGCGAAAGCGUGGGGAGCAAACAGG
Molecule: ribosomal RNA, 254 nt
Filed under: uncultured bacterium
Lineage: Bacteria
Description: partial 16S ribosomal RNA
Rfam family: Bacterial small subunit ribosomal RNA
Source: RNAcentral